This 252-nucleotide ribosomal RNA is filed under the name uncultured bacterium. RNAcentral describes it as "partial 16S ribosomal RNA". It matches the Rfam family "Bacterial small subunit ribosomal RNA", at positions 524 to 776 of the family's 1533-position model. The record is from RNAcentral.
UACGUAGGUCCCGAGCGUUGUCCGGAUUUAUUGGGCGUAAAGCGAGCGCAGGUGGUUUAUUAAGUCUGGUGUAAAAGGCAGUGGCUCAACCAUUGUACGCAUUGGAAACUGGUAGACUUGAGUGCAGGAGAGGAGAGUGGAAUUCCAUGUGUAGCGGUGAAAUGCGUAGAUAUAUGGAGGAACACCGGUGGCGAAAGCGGCUCUCUGGCCUGUAACUGAUACUGAGGCUCGAAAGCGUGGGGAGCAAACAGG